RNAcentral lists this long non-coding RNA (218 nucleotides) under Elaeis guineensis (African oil palm). RNAcentral describes it as "long non-coding RNA (EGUI_LNC003750)". Lineage: Eukaryota; Viridiplantae; Streptophyta; Magnoliopsida; Arecales; Arecaceae. The record is from RNAcentral.
GAGUGGAUGAUGGAGAUAUGAUCCCAGCACACCGCUGAGGGCUCCACCCCAUAUACAGAUGAUGAUAUCUAUGAUGAGGUACUUAACAGGAAAUCCAGUUAUGUUAUGAGAUUGGGAUAUGUAGUUGCAGCCUCUAGCUCCUCUAGAGUAUCACAUACUUCUUGUGAUGCUCAUCUCCAUGAGGCGGAGAGGAGACAUGAGGAGAAGAUGCGUCAAGC